RNAcentral lists this ribosomal RNA (253 nucleotides) under uncultured bacterium. RNAcentral describes it as "partial 16S ribosomal RNA". It matches the Rfam family "Bacterial small subunit ribosomal RNA", at positions 524 to 776 of the family's 1533-position model. The record is from RNAcentral.
UACGUAGGGUGCAAGCGUUAAUCGGAAUUACUGGGCGUAAAGCGUGCGCAGGCGGUUAUGUAAGACAGGUGUGAAAUCCCCGGGCUUAACCUGGGAAUGGCAUUUGUGACUGCAUAGCUAGAGUGUGUCAGAGGGGGGUAGAAUUCCACGUGUAGCAGUGAAAUGCGUAGAGAUGUGGAGGAAUACCGAUGGCGAAGGCAGCCCCCUGGGAUAACACUGACGCUCAUGCACGAAAGCGUGGGGAGCAAACAGG